RNAcentral lists this ribosomal RNA (460 nucleotides) under uncultured bacterium. Its description in RNAcentral is "partial 16S ribosomal RNA". It matches the Rfam family "Bacterial small subunit ribosomal RNA", at positions 338 to 795 of the family's 1533-position model. The record is from RNAcentral.
CCUACGGGUGGCAGCAGUGAGGAAUAUUGGUCAAUGGACGAGAGUCUGAACCAGCCAAGUAGCGUGAAGGAUGACUGCUCUAUGGGUUGUAAAUUUCUUUUAUAUGGGAAUAAAACAGGGUAUGCAUACCCUCUUGUAUGUACCAUACUACUAACGAUCGGCUAACUUCGUGCCAGCAGCCGCGGUAAUACGGAGGUUGCGAGCGUUAUACGGAUUUAUUGGGUUUAAGGGGAGCGUAGAUGGGUGGAUAAGUCAGUUGUGAAAGUUGGCGGCUCAACCUUAAAACUGCAGUUGAAACUGGCAGUCUUGAGUACAGUAGAGGUGGGCGGAAUUCGUGGUGUAGCGGUGAAAUGCUUAGAUAUCACGAAGAACUCCGAUGGCGAAGGCAGCUCACUGGACGGCAACUGACACUGAUGCGCGAAAGUGUGGGUAUCAAACAGGAUUAGAUACCCUGGUAGUC